UUGGAGGGCAAGUCUGGUGCCGGCAGCCGCGGUAAUUCCAGCUCCAAUAGCGUAUAUUAAAGUUGUUGCAGUUAAAAAGCUCGUAGUUGAAUUUCGGGAUUAGCAGGUCGGUCGUGCCACUGGUACGUACUGGUCUUGCUGAUUCCUCCCUCUUGACGAGCCGUAAUGCCAUUAAUUUGGUGUUGCGGGGAAUCAGGACUGUUACUUUGAAAAAAUUAGAGUGUUUAAAGCAGGCAUGCGCUUGAAUACAUUAGCAUGGAAUAAUGAAAUAGGACGUUCGAUCUUAUUUUGUUGGUUUCUAGGAUUGACGUAAUGAUUAAUAGGGAUAGUUGGAGGCAUUAGUAUUCAAUUGUCAGAGGUGAAAUUCUUGGAUUUAUUGAAGACUAACUACUGCGAAAGCAUUUGCCAAGGAUGUUUUCAUUAAUCAAGAACGAAAGUUAGGGGAUCGAAGACGAUCAGAUACCGUCGUAGUCUUAACUAUAAACUAUGCCGACUAGGGAUCGGAUGAUGUUAAUUUUUUAAUGACUCAUUCGGCGCCUUACGGGAAAC
RNAcentral lists this ribosomal RNA (549 nucleotides) under uncultured Glomus. Its description in RNAcentral is "SSU rRNA". It matches the Rfam family "Eukaryotic small subunit ribosomal RNA", at positions 548 to 1098 of the family's 1831-position model. The record is from RNAcentral. Lineage: Eukaryota; Fungi; Glomeromycota; Glomeromycetes; Glomerales; Glomeraceae.